Molecule: ribosomal RNA, 449 nt
Filed under: uncultured bacterium
Lineage: Bacteria
Description: partial 16S ribosomal RNA
Rfam family: Bacterial small subunit ribosomal RNA
Source: RNAcentral
AGCGAACGCUGGCGGCAGGCCUAACACAUGCAAGUCGAACGAACUCUUCGGAGUUAGUGGCGGACGGGUGAGUAACACGUGGGAACGUGCCUUUAGGUUCGGAAUAACUCAGGGAAACUUGUGCUAAUACCGAAUGUGCCCUUCGGGGGAAAGAUUUAUCGCCUUUAGAGCGGCCCGCGUCUGAUUAGCUAGUUGGUGAGGUAAAGGCUCACCAAGGCGACGAUCAGUAGCUGGUCUGAGAGGAUGAUCAGCCACAUUGGGACUGAGACACGGCCCAAACUCCUACGGGAGGCAGCAGUGGGGAAUCUUGCGCAAUGGGCGAAAGCCUGACGCAGCCAUGCCGCGUGAAUGACGAAGUCUUUCGGGAUGUAAAGUUCUGUCAAGAGGGACGAUAAUGACGGUACCUCUAAAGGAAGCCCCGGCUAAUUACGUGCCAGCAGCCGCCGUAA